UCAUACUGUUUUAUUUAAAUCAUUUUCUAACUCCGUGACUCUGUAGAGAUUGAGGCUACGUCCACACGUACCCGGGUAUUUUUGAAAACGCAGAUAUUUCUAUGCGUUUGCACCUUUCCUCCUCUGUGAGAUGUUCUCAAUCAUUGCCAGGUCUUUAUCACUUGAGUUCUGUCUUGCUGGGGUCGCAGACUUCUGCAAAAAGUCUCAUCGAGCUCUGGGUUGGUUUAGGUGGAUUUGGAGGUAUACUGCAACUGAUGCUGUAGAUGCAGUGGCAGCAACAGUUGCAGUAGACACACUGGCACCUUCAUUAAUAUCACACUCAACUGACUGUUUUAUAUUCCUAUUGCACUGAUGGGUGGACAGUUCUCAGGUGCCUGUGCAGGUUGUUUGUGGAGCCGGCUCUGUAUGAUAUCUUUUUCUUACAGACUUUACACUCUGUCUUUGUUUUCAGUAAAAUUGAAAUUGCUCCAGAUUUUGCUUCUUUUCUUGGUGUCACUCAUUUUUAUUACCAUGCCUUUCUAAUGUGUUGAUGUUGUGUCUUGUUGCCCCUGGCUCUCUUUCUCUCUUUCACACUCUGUUCCUAUGCUACUGCGAGUGUAACCACCACCCCUCCCCCCUCUGCUCAGCGCAAACACAAGGCUCAAGUGCGGUGUGAAGUGAAAAUAGUGAGACAGAGCGGGUGAGAGAAAGGGGAAAAGAAACACAGCUCGUUAUUCGUUACUUCGUGUGGUGGCUAUUGCGGAGCUUCCACAGAUUCAGUAACAUUAGCAAGUGGUGGAGGCCAGCAGGUGGAUGAGGGAAAUGGUGAGGCGGCCUGAGGCGGCCGCUGUCCAAGUGUCAGGUGAACUGAAUUCCAGGUGGCACAGUGCACUUGAGGCAAGUAAGCAAGCUAGAAGACUGGCACUCUUGCUGGAUAUCCAGUUACGGAAGCAACACAUUAACAAGAGAAUUCUGAGUAAAACCAAAGUUACCUUCCUGAGUAACUAGUUACUCUGAAAGUAAUGACUAACUUGAAGUAACUGAGUUACUUUUGAUAGAAGUAACUAGUAAUGUAACUAAGUUACUAAUUUAAAGUAACUUACCCAACACUGCUCACUUCAAAGAUACGGCUCUAAGAGCAUUUUCGUUCACAACUGACACAUCACUACAUGGGGCACACUCACCCUUGACCCACCUGCUUUCCAAGGUAGGUGAUGGUUGCAUGGUGCAUGUGGCACACAACCGACUGUAAGCAACAACAUGUUUUUUUUUUAAAACCAGGCCAAAAGAAGUUGCUCAGCACUCAGUAAUACUUUUUAUUUAUUCCGAGAUGCCAUGCCCAUAUCAUGUGCUAAGCUUAGCACCUGAUUACAAUGAUGGGAUUGUACCACCACCUGCAUGACGUUCAAUGUUCCACUAAUCUGAGGACCACCACCUCGUGAGCAGGCCAUCCUGCAGUAAAAAACGGGGAAUGGUUGCGCUUUGCCCAGAAGCGAAAGUGGCGGCAAAACAGGAACUCAAAGACUUGCCAUUUCUCUGAGUGCUUACCAAAGCUUCUUUACUCACAUCUCCAAUUCCAGCAUUAAUUUUACCACACUUCGUUCCAUUUUCAUACUGUCUCUCUCUUACAAAAGGCUUUUGCCCUGUAGCCACAAACGUAUCCGCGAUACUAAAAUCAGCAAAUUUGCACUCUUGCGCCCAUGUGACAGUUUGACAGCUUAGAGCUCCACAUUAUUGGUGGGAUAAGUUUAUCAGGAUGGCUUCAAAAUCUGCAACCACAAGUGUUUAGAUUUCCAUCGGAUCUCAAGAGGAACAAACGAAUAACUCAGACUUACAAAUGGACUGCAAGUCAGAAAACUAGGGAAUGUGACGACCUCCCUGACUAAGGCCCAUAAACGUCGUGUUCACAUCAUACACACACUUAUAUUUCUACUCUCCCUGGAUGUUUUCCACUCUGUGCUGCUAUUGUAAGUCUUCUUGGUCCUUGUGGGGUGAUCGUGGCUCAAGAGUUGGGAGUUCACCUUGUAAUCAGAGGGUUGCCGGUUCGAGCCUCGGCUUGGACAGUCUUGGUCGUUGUGUCCUUGGGCACUUCACCCGUUGCCUACUGGUGGUGGUCAGAGGGCCCGGUGGCACCAGUGUCUGGCAACUUCGCCUCUGUCAGUGCGCCCCAGGGUGGCUGUGGCUACAAUGUAGCUUGCCAGUAAAGUAAUAGUAGUAGUAGUAAAGCACUAUACAAAUACAGACUAUUUACCAGACCAUUUGUACUCAAUGCAUUUGGUUCAGACGUUAAUAAUAUUAACUCAUACAUCCAGGUAAAGCUAUUGAUAGUGAUGUGACGUUCUGUAUCGAGGCUUCGGAGCGUGUGUCGAGUAAUGGAGGGGGCGUUUCCGCGAUGCGCGUAUCGAGGCUUGCUUCAUUUAUGGGAGGAGCUGAAAAUGAUGACGUCCGAAGCCUCGCUGCCCGGCUGUACCACGUGACUGGUUCAUGAAGUGGUUCGAACUUUGCCGCGAGCUAUGACAGCGAUAUAAACCCCUCAGAUUUCAUUCAAAAUGUGGGUGUUUGAUGGAGAGUUGCGGUUAGUGAGAGUUUGGAGACCGUUUGGAGGUUUAUGAGAGUGAGGAGAGAAAGUCAGGAGAGAAUGGAGCCAGCUAAGAAGAGGAGGAUGUCCUCUCCUGUGUGGGAACAUUUUGAUCUUAUUCCUCCCAACAAGGUGAAGUGUUUGCUAUGUGCCAGGGAGCUGGGAUAUAACAACAACACCUCAUCCAUGCUUACGCACUACAGAGCUUUGCAUGAGAAUAAGGGGAACACCGAUUGUGGAGCAAGACCAGGAGAACAAUCUCAAAUAGAUGAAGACCUGGUCAGCAUGGUGAUUGAGGACUCCCAGCCAUUUAGCAUUGUGGAGGACAAAGGAUUCAAAAGAUUUGUUAAAUCAUUAAAUCCUAGCUAUGUUCUCCCCACUAAAAAGGUCAUAAAAGCAGUGAAAAUUUAGUUUUUACAGAAUAAAAUGUGAACAGGCAGGACUGAGGCUCAAAGCCUCAGUGUGUAGCUGUCCAUACCUCAACGUUACAAAAGCACAACCACUGUCCACACCUCACCUCACAGUAAAUGAUCAUUUCCAUUUUAAGCAUUUCCAAAUAAUCAUUUUCCAUACUGCCAGUAUAAAUAUACACACUAUACUGCCAUCAAUACAAUAUAGAUGUUUUACACACUCCUUUUGUUGUUGAUAUUUACAGGCUGUGUGCAAAAUGCCACACUCUUCAAAUUCAUGCCAACUAAUAUUUUUACGUCCAGUAGGUGUCCUCCUAGAGCAAAUGAAGCUUCAAGAAGCUUUGCGCUGGGGUGAACCAAUUGGAUGAAAAGCUUCAGUGCUUCAUGAAGCUUCAUCUGCCCAUCACUAGCUAUUGAUCCAAGAUUGUUAGGUGUGGCUGUGUGCAGGCAGGAAUAGGACCCAAGGUGCAGACUCCGGAGACAGAACUUAAACCAAAACAGCUUUAAUGCUGAACGCAAACAUAACAUAACUGGAAAAACUCAAAAAAAACAAACUAACACCAGCAGAUUGACAAAACACACAGCAACGUAAACGGUAGAUCGCGACACAGACACCAAGAAACACAGGGCUUAAAUACACAGAGGGAGCAAUCAGGGAAUGGGUAACAGGAGGGAAACACAGCUGGGGCAAAUCAGGCCUAACGAGACAAGGGGAAGCAAAACCAGACACAUUAACAUCAGACAUGGACUUUCAAAGUAAAACAGGAAACAUAACACAGACUCACGGGCAGGCACUAUAACAAAGGGAACAGAGACGUGGGAACAGGGCAGACACAAACAUUGACUGAACACGGGGAUAUAGGAACUUAGGAUACACAUAGACGCGAACUAGACAAGGGGAUGCAGGUGAUAGGGGAGACAGAGCAACUAAAGAAGACAGAGACCUAAGCCAUAAGACAGAACUCAAAGAAACCAAAAACUAGAAAGUAUAAAUAAUAUCAUAAACUCAAAAACGCUGGGUCGACGACCCAGGCAUCCCAACAAAGAUUGAGUAAGGAAUAACACACACUAGAUCUGUCUUAUUUAGAAUAUGAAAAUAUGAAACGUAUUUCAAGUUUUUGACAAAUAUACGCAUCCAUUGAUCAGUGAAGUGUCCAUAUUUGCUAUUACUAACACACAGUUAUCCUAUAGAGUUUGAGUCAGUCCAAACUUAAAGUAAUUAUUUUUGUGGUCAAUUGCAAGAAAACUGUAACUUUUGUUAGAGCUACUUCCAUUAGCUUUAAUAGCUUUAAUAAAUGGGAUUUCCAUCCCGAAAUGCAUGCCAAAUAAUUUACAUUUCAAUUCAAAAAGAUGAAAUUAGGUUUCUUUAGUUCAGCACAUCUAUCUCUCUGUUUGCUCCUCACUGUGUACAAACACUUUUCUCCUUUUUCAGAUGGGAAAAUCAUCAAAGCUGAGCCUGGACAGAACGUCACUCUGCCAUGUCGAACUCCACAUAUCAGCGUUCCCAUCAGAGCUGUGGUGGAGUGGUUCAGACUUGACCUGCAGGAAGGACAUGUCCUUAUGUACCGGGAUGAGCAGUUUAUUUCAAUGAACCAGCUUCCAUCGUUUGUGAACCGGGUGGAUCUGCAGGACAGACAGAUGAAGGACGGAGACGUGUCUUUGAUUCUGAAGGACGUGACAAGUGACGACACUGGAACAUUUCAGUGUUACGUGGUCCAGAGAGGAACAAAUGGCAGGAAAAGCACUGUUGAUCAUAUCAGCACCGUCUACCUGAGAGUUGUAGGGAGCAGCGAUGGACAUCCAACAAUGAAAUGUAGACGUUUAACACAAAUACAAUUGAAUUUUUUAGCGUUUUUCUCUUCUUUACUUAGAAGUAUUGUUAAGGAGAUUUAAAAACAAAGUUAAUUUUCAUUGUCUUCUUCAUUAUUACGUUGCUGUUAAAAGGUAAUAAUGCCAAUGAAGUCCGUAUAGUGCAGCCAGUCCCUUAAACACUGCUGCAAUCCACUUUCACCAAAAUAAGUUUUCUCCUAAGUUUUUUUUUUUCUUUUAUCACUUUUGAUCUUUGAUUAUUUGCUUGCUGAGGUUAAUUCGUGAUUAACAGCUUUGAUUCUGCUGUUUGGAAACGUGUGCUCCAGUUUAGUUUAUUUCCAGCAGUAAUAAAUUUGUUAAAUGUUGGGUCUGUGUUUCCACAUGCCCCGCUAGUUUAGAGACUUAUUCCUCAUGACAAACACAAGACAUAGCAGAACAUCUUCAACCGGUUAUUAACUCGCUAACGAAGGAGAGCUUUGGUCUGAACCAGGCGGUGGAGCAUAAUGCUCAUCACUCUCUAGCCCAAAUCCUUCAAAGAGCAGCUGUCCUCGUAGCCUUUUUAUUGACAUGACAUUUACAGUACACAUGACAACACAACACAAGCACCUCCCAUCGUAAACCCCCCCCCCCCCCCCCCCCUUGGUCCUAAGACAAGGCAUUAUAUGUGUGUGUGUGACAAAUAACUUUGUUGUUUGCAAAACUUGUGCAUAGGAUUUUAAAAUUGACAAUUUAUACUUGUAUUUAAAGUUAUGAAAUAUGAUUCAUUAAACAUGUUUGUGGUUGUUACAGUAAAAAAUAUAACUUUUUUCUACUCUGAUUUUAUGUUUUUUUCUGAUUUUAGAUCUAUUGUGUUAAUACAAUAAAUGUACAAAUGAAAACAAGGCAAAGUAAAUAGUUUUUAAAGGUAAAAUGUGGAGGGACAAUCAAAAGUAGUUAAAAAUGGCCAAUUAUACCCUGGACCCCAGAGGGUUAAACAUUUUUUUCAAAGUAACUCAAUAGUUACUUUUCAAGUAAU
Molecule: long non-coding RNA, 5791 nt
Organism: Astatotilapia calliptera (eastern happy)
Lineage: Eukaryota; Metazoa; Chordata; Actinopteri; Cichliformes; Cichlidae
Source: Ensembl